RNAcentral lists this transfer RNA (69 nucleotides) under Marmota monax (woodchuck). It matches the Rfam family "tRNA". From Rfam's summary of the family: Transfer RNA (tRNA) molecules are approximately 80 nucleotides in length. Lineage: Eukaryota; Metazoa; Chordata; Mammalia; Rodentia; Sciuridae. The record is from Rfam by way of RNAcentral.
GGAGAUGUAGCUCAGUGGUAGAGUGCAUGCUUAACCUACAUGAGGACAUGGGUUCAGGUCCCAUCACCA